RNAcentral lists this ribosomal RNA (467 nucleotides) under uncultured bacterium. RNAcentral's name for it is "partial 16S ribosomal RNA". It matches the Rfam family "Bacterial small subunit ribosomal RNA", at positions 28 to 507 of the family's 1533-position model. The record is from RNAcentral.
GACGAACGCUGGCGGCGUGCUUAACACAUGCAAGUCGAACGGAAAGGCCUCUUUCGGGGGGUACUCGAGUGGCGAACGGGUGAGUAACACGUGAGUAACCUGCCCUUGACUUUGGGAUAACUUCAGGAAACUGGGGCUAAUACCGGAUAGGAGCUCCUGCUGCACGGUGGGGGUUGGAAAGUUUCGGCGGUUGGGGAUGGACUCGCGGCUUAUCAGCUUGUUGGUGGGGUAGUGGCUUACCAAGGCUCUGACGGGUAGCCGGCCUGAGAGGGUGACCGGCCACAUUGGGACUGAGAUACGGCCCAGACUCCUACGGGAGGCAGCAGUGGGGAAUAUUGCACAAUGGGUGGAAGCCUGAUGCAGCAACGCCGUGUGCGGGAUGACGGCCUUCGGGUUGGAAACCGCUUUCGCUCAUGACGAAGCUUUGUGUGACGGUAGUGGGUAAAGAAGCACCGGCUAACUACGUG